UCCCAGCUGGGGUCAUUUGCAAACCAUCACAGUAAAAUUCAGAACAACGACGGAAGCAGAUUCAUCCACAGAUAACAUAACAUUAUGGCUGGAACAACAUUUCCUGAAUCUCUACGCCCUAACAUCUCUAGUACAGUAACAAAUAUACUGAUCCAUGUUCCAUAGGUACGACACGUUGGUUAACACAGACAUCACCGACAAACAAACACCUGAUGAUACUCUCCACUCCUUACACCCAGACAUGGGCCGGCACAGAAAACGCGAAACACUAAGCUCUUGAACACCUGAAGUGAACAUAUCGACCACUGCAUCGGCUAGACAGGGUGGCUGCUGGAAGGGAUCGCGGGUGAAUUGCCCGUGCCGAACGUAUGUGACUUGCACGCGAGCCUCACGGUCGUAUGGAUCUGUGAAGGCUCAGCCAUCGCGCCGUUCCCGUAGUCGCCGCAGGCCAGCCUCUUCGUGGUGGGUGGGACCAAGGAAAUCCCGAGUUGGUUGAUCGUCUCGAUGUGGCGCGCCGUGAACGGGUUGUUCCACAUGAAGGUGUUCAUGGCUGGAGCGGCGAAGAUCGGCUUCUUGUAGUCCCACGC
This 587-nucleotide long non-coding RNA is filed under the name Triticum aestivum (bread wheat). Its description in RNAcentral is "long non-coding RNA (TAES_LNC014323)". Lineage: Eukaryota; Viridiplantae; Streptophyta; Magnoliopsida; Poales; Poaceae. The record is from RNAcentral.